UCGGUGCAGGGUUGAUGGUAGAGGUGACUCUGUGCAGGGAUGAUGGUAGAGAUGACUUAGUGCAGGGAUGAUGGUAGAGGUGAAUCAGUGCAGGGAUGAUGGUAGAGGUGACUCGGUGCAGGGAUGAUGGUAGAGGUAUGAUGGUAGAGGUGACUCAGUGCAGGGAUAUUGGUAGAGGUGACUCGGUGCAGGGAUGAUGGUAGAGGUGACUUGGUGCAGGGAUGAUGGUAGAGAUGAAUCGGUGCAGGGAUGAUGGUAGAGAUGAAUUGGUGCAGGGAUGAUGGUAGAGGUGACUUGGUGCAGGGACGUUGGUAGAGAUGACUCUGUGCAGGGAUGAUGGUAGAGGUGACUCUGUGCAAGGACGUUGGUAGGGGUGACUCAGUGCAGGGAUGAUGGUAGAGAUGAAUCGGUGCAGGGAUGAUUGUAGAGGUGACUCGGUGCAGGGAUGAUGGUAGAGGUAUGAUGGUAGAGGUGACUCGGUGCAGGGAUGAUGGUAGAGAUGAUUCGGUGCAGGGAUGAUUGAAGAGGUGACUUGGUGCAGGGACGUUGGUAGAGAUGAAUCGGUGCAGGGAUGAUUGUAGAGGUGACUCGGUGCAGGGAUGAUGGUAGAGGUGACUCUGUGCAGGGAUGAUGGUAGAGGUGACUCGGUGCAGGGAUGAUGGUAGAGGUAUGAUGGUCGAGGUGACUUGGUGCGGGGAUGAUGGUAGAGGUGACUCGGUGUAGGGAUGAUGGUAGAGGUGACUCGGUGCAGGGAUGAUGGUAGAGGUGAAUAUGUGCAGGGAUGAUGGUAAAGGUAUGAUGGUAGAGGUGACUCGGUGCAAGGACAAUGGUAGAGGUGACUCGGUGCAGGGACGUUGGUAGAGGUGACUCGGUGCAGGUACAAUGGUAGAGGUGACUCGGUGCAGGGAAGAUGGUAGAGGUGACUCGGUGCAGGGACGAUGGUAGAGGUGACUCGGUGCAGGGAUGAUGGUAGAGGUGACUCGUUUCAGGAGUUGAUCGUAGAGGUGACUCGUGCAAGGAUUAUGGUAGAGGUGACUCGGUUCAGGAGUUGAUCGUGAUGG
Ictalurus punctatus (channel catfish) is the source of this 1061-nucleotide long non-coding RNA. Lineage: Eukaryota; Metazoa; Chordata; Actinopteri; Siluriformes; Ictaluridae. The record is from Ensembl.